Dromiciops gliroides (monito del monte) is the source of this 1592-nucleotide long non-coding RNA. RefSeq lists it as uncharacterized. The record is from RefSeq and is a predicted model, not a curated record. The transcript is spliced from 2 exons. NCBI's taxonomy places the organism in Eukaryota, Metazoa, Chordata, Mammalia, Microbiotheria, Microbiotheriidae.
AGGAGGCCCAGCCACACCAGAACACUGAGCAUCAUGCCUGGCUCACAGUGAGCAGAAUGUCAAUGUCUCCAGCCAGUUGUAUCUCAGCUCACCUGGUCACACUGGUUUACUUGCUAUGGCUUAAAGAUAUGAGCCUCUUGAAUUGCAUACCUUUGCAUCAUUUGCCAAUGGUUUGUGAAAUAUCACUUGGGCUGAUGAAGCAAAUUGAUUCCCCAUUUAAAUACACAAGGAACGAAAGAACAAUCAAGAAAAACCCAGCUCUUUUAGUAAGUGGGGUGAUGAAGGUGCUGCUGCAGUCCAAGCAUUCAAUCAAUCCUCAGUGUGGUAGAAUCCACUGAAGGGUAAGGAAUCCAGUUCAGUAAAAUGACACCAACCUAAGGGAUGCUGAUGGCAUGGAGAUGACCUUAGAAUUCAAAGUGACCUCCCUAAAGUGGAGAAGCUGAAAGAAGAAAACAAUCAAGUUCAACAAAGCCCUAUGCAAGAAGGUAUCCAUGGAAAUGAAAAAGAAACUACAGGAUCACAAGAUAUGUAAAGAUCUCCCCUGGAGGAAAAAAAGACCCUAAGAACCAUAGCAGACCACAAGCUGUUAAGAACCAUGAAAGAAGAAGGGAUGGCACCCAAAAGCAUAAAUAGAAAUAUAAAAUAGAGAAAAUGGCAAAAAAAUGAAUGGUUUCAUUCUCAGCCCUCACUAUGAAUCCUUCUCCCCUCCUGCUAUAUCCAUGUGAUACAGCAUGGUAUAGUAGAAAGUACAUGGACCUUAGGCUCAAGAAAGACCUGGGUUCAAACCAGAGCUCUAUGACCUUGGAUAAAUCAUUUCACUUCUCUGAGCUUCAUUUUCUUCCACUGCAAAACAGAAAUAAUAUUUGGACUAACUACCCCACAUAAAAGGUCAUUGGAAGAGGAGUACUUUUAAGUAUACCUUAAAGAUUAUAUAAGUGUGAAGUAUUAUUUAUUUGCUGCUCAAGACUCUAGGAGUUAAUGAGUGACAUUGAAUUUGGAAGAGAUUCUAGAAAAUGUACAACUUAGAAUUUGGUGGCUAGGAUAAGGCACAAAAAAUUAUAGGACCUGAGAUUAAUCUGCCUACAGAACAUAAAUUUUAAAGGUCAUUUAAUGGAAGUCUUAGAGCAUAUGCUGGACUAUUAUAUAGAGACAUCUCACCCAACUCUUGUUCCCUUGAUUCUCAGGGUGAUUUAGGGAUGGCAAUGGAUUCUCAAAGGCUAUGCCAAAAAAGCAUCCAAAGUGACAGGUCCUCUUUGAAGAUGGGCCUGAUGAUAGACUAUGUCUCUGUUGCCUGAUGACCUGCCCACAUACAGAGAGGCACAAUGUAAGAAAUUUGGCAAUGAAUGUGAUAAAUUUGGCAGGUAGGGGAGUCACAAUCCAAGGCCUUACUCAGAGCAAUGAAAUCACAGAUUUUUCAAUGUCCAAGGAUAAUACAAGCAAUCCUCCAUUUCCAACAAAUAUGGAAGCAAAGGCAAUAUGCCUUUAAACCAAUGCAUUAAGGAGUUCAUUUGGCCUUAAGCACCCAUUGGUUUACAGUGAUAAUCUGAAAGCAUUAUCAUGGACUAUGAAAAUAAAUCAAAUUCAAAUCUGUA